GGUUAAGUGACUAAGCGUACACGGUGGAUGCCUUGGCAGUCAGAGGCGAUGAAAGACGUAGUAACUUGCGAUAAGCCCAGAUUAGGUAGUAACAACCAUUUGAGUCUGGGAUUUCUGAAUGGGGAAACCCACGUGCAUAAGCACGUAUCCUUACCUGAAUACAUAGGGUAAGGAGGCGAACCGGGGAACUGAAACAUCUAAGUACCCCGAGGAAAAGAAAUCAACCGAGAUUCCGAAAGUAGCGGCGAGCGAAAUUGGACUAGCCCUUAAGCUUUACACGCGUUAGACGAACGGUCUGGAAAGUCCGACGAUACAGGGUGAUAGUCCCGUAGUUGACGACGUGUGUUCAGUGAAAUCGAGUAGGGCGGGACACGUGAUAUCCUGUCUGAAUAUGGGGGACCAUCCUCCAAGGCUAAAUACUACUGACUGACCGAUAGUGAACCAGUACCGUGAGGGAAAGGCGAAAAGAACCCCUGUGAGGGGAGUGAAAUAGAACCUGAAACCGUGUACGUACAAGCAGUAGGAGCAGGCUUUGUCCUGUGACUGCGUACCUUUUGUAUAAUGGGUCAGCGACUUAUAUUCAGUGGCAAGGUUAACCAUCUAGGGGAGCCGUAGGGAAACCGAGUCUUAACUGGGCGUUCAGUCUCUGGAUAUAGACCCGAAACCAGGUGAUCUAGCCAUGGGCAGGUUGAAGGUUGAGUAACAUCAACUGGAGGACCGAACCGACUAAUGUUGAAAAAUUAGCGGAUGACUUGUGGCUAGGGGUGAAAGGCCAAUCAAACCUGGAGAUAGCUGGUUCUCCCCGAAAGCUAUUUAGGUAGCGCCUCGGACGAAUACUACUGGGGGUAGAGCACUGUUAAGGCUAGGGGUCAUCCCGACUUACCAACCCUUUGCAAACUCCGAAUACCAGUAAGUACUAUCCGGGAGACACACGGCGGGUGCUAACGUCCGUCGUGGAGAGGGAAACAACCCAGACCGCCAGCUAAGGUCCCAAAUUACUACUAAGUGGGAAACGAUGUGGGAAGGCUCAGACAGCCAGGAUGUUGGCUUAGAAGCAGCCAUCAUUUAAAGAAAGCGUAAUAGCUCACUGGUCGAGUCGGCCUGCGCGGAAGAUGUAACGGGGCUAAGUAGUAAACCGAAGCUGCGGCAAUGCACUUUAGUGCAUUGGGUAGGGAGCGUUCUGUAAGCGGUUGAAGGUGUGUGGUAACGCAUGCUGGACGUAUCAGAAGUGCGAAUGCUGACAUGAGUAACGAUAAAGGGGGUGAAAAACCUCCUCGCCGGAAGACCAAGGGUUCCUGUCCAACGUUAAUCGGGGCAGGGUAAGUCGACCCCUAAGGCGAGGCCGAAAGGCGUAGUCGAUGGGAAACGGGUUAAUAUUCCCGUACUUCUUACAAUUGCGAUGGGGGACGGAGAAGGCUAGGUGGGCCUGGCGACGGUUGUCCAGGUUCAAGUGCGUAGGCUUAAGAGUUAGGUAAAUCCGGCUCUUUCUAAGGCUGAGACACGACGUCGAGCACCUACGGGUGUGAAGUCAUUGAUGCCAUGCUUCCAGGAAAAGCCUCUAAGCUUCAGAUUGUAAGGAAUCGUACCCCAAACCGACACAGGUGGUCGGGUAGAGAAUACCAAGGCGCUUGAGAGAACUCGGGUGAAGGAACUAGGCAAAAUGGUACCGUAACUUCGGGAGAAGGUACGCUCUUGAUGGUGAAGUCCCUCGCGGAUGGAGCUGACGAGAGUCGCAGAUACCAGGUGGCUGCAACUGUUUAUUAAAAACACAGCACUGUGCAAAAUCGUAAGAUGACGUAUACGGUGUGACGCCUGCCCGGUGCCGGAAGGUUAAUUGAUGGGGUUAGACUUCGGUCGAAGCUCUUGAUCGAAGCCCCGGUAAACGGCGGCCGUAACUAUAACGGUCCUAAGGUAGCGAAAUUCCUUGUCGGGUAAGUUCCGACCUGCACGAAUGGCGUAAUGAUGGCCACGCUGUCUCCACCCGAGACUCAGUGAAAUUGAAAUCGCUGUGAAGAUGCAGUGUACCCGCGGCUAGACGGAAAGACCCCGUGAACCUUUACUACAGCUUGGCACUGAACAUUGACCCUACAUGUGUAGGAUAGGUGGGAGGCUUUGAAGCACGUACGCCAGUAUGUGUGGAGCCGUCCUUGAAAUACCACCCUUGUAGUGUUGAUGUUCUAACGUCGACCCCUUAUCGGGGUUGCGGACAGUGCCUGGUGGGUAGUUUGACUGGGGCGGUCUCCUCCCAAAGAGUAACGGAGGAGCACGAAGGUGGGCUAAUCACGGUUGGACAUCGUGAGGUUAGUGCAAUGGCAUAAGCCCGCUUGACUGCGAGAAUGACAAUUCGAGCAGGUGCGAAAGCAGGUCAUAGUGAUCCGGUGGUUCUGAAUGGAAGGGCCAUCGCUCAACGGAUAAAAGGUACUCCGGGGAUAACAGGCUGAUACCGCCCAAGAGUUCAUAUCGACGGCGGUGUUUGGCACCUCGAUGUCGGCUCAUCACAUCCUGGGGCUGAAGUCGGUCCCAAGGGUAUGGCUGUUCGCCAUUUAAAGUGGUACGCGAGCUGGGUUUAGAACGUCGUGAGACAGUUCGGUCCCUAUCUGCCGUGGGCGUUGGAAGAUUGAAGGGGCUGCUCCUAGUACGAGAGGACCGGAGUGGACGAACCUCUGGUGUUCGGGUUGUGUCGCCAGACGCAUUGCCCGGUAGCUAAGUUCGGAAUCGAUAACCGCUGAAAGCAUCUAAGCGGGAAGCGAGCCCUGAGAUGAGUCUUCCCUGAUACUUUAAGUAUCCUAAAGGGUUGUCGGAGACUACGACGUUGAUAGGUCAGGUGUGUAAGUGCUGUGAGGCAUUGAGCUAACUGAUACUAAUUGCCCGUGAGGCUUAACCAU
This 2885-nucleotide ribosomal RNA is filed under the name Vibrio parahaemolyticus. Its description in RNAcentral is "23S ribosomal RNA". It matches the Rfam family "Bacterial large subunit ribosomal RNA". Lineage: Bacteria; Pseudomonadati; Pseudomonadota; Gammaproteobacteria; Vibrionales; Vibrionaceae. The record is from RNAcentral.